RNAcentral lists this ribosomal RNA (253 nucleotides) under uncultured bacterium. RNAcentral describes it as "partial 16S ribosomal RNA". It matches the Rfam family "Bacterial small subunit ribosomal RNA", at positions 524 to 776 of the family's 1533-position model. The record is from RNAcentral.
UACGGGGGGGGCAAGCGUUGUUCGGAAUUACUGGGCGUAAAGGGCUCGUAGGUGGCCAACUAAGUCGGACGUGAAAUCCCUCGGCUUAACCGGGGAACUGCGUCUGAUACUGGAUGGCUUGAGUUCGGGAGAGGGAUGCGGAAUUCCAGGUGUAGCGGUGAAAUGCGUAGAUAUCAUGAGGAACACCAGAGGCGAAGGCGACUUCCUGGACAAUUGCUGACGCUCAGGCACGAAAGCAUGGGGAGCAAAAGGG